UACGUAGGGGGCAAGCGUUGUCCGGAAUCAUUGGGCGUAAAGAGCGCGUAGGCGGCCCUGUAAGUCCGCUGUGAAAGUCAAGGGCUCAACCCUUGAAUGCCGGUGGAUACUGCAGGGCUAGAGUCCGGAAGAGGCGAGUGGAAUUCCUGGUGUAGCGGUGAAAUGCGUAGAGAUGUGGAGGAACACCAAUGGCGAAGGCAGCCUUCUGGGCCAACACUGACGCUCAUGCACGAAAGCGUGGGGAGCAAACAGG
This 253-nucleotide ribosomal RNA is filed under the name uncultured bacterium. RNAcentral's name for it is "partial 16S ribosomal RNA". It matches the Rfam family "Bacterial small subunit ribosomal RNA", at positions 524 to 776 of the family's 1533-position model. The record is from RNAcentral.